This is a non-coding RNA of Dipodomys ordii (Ord's kangaroo rat), 65 nucleotides long. NCBI's taxonomy places the organism in Eukaryota, Metazoa, Chordata, Mammalia, Rodentia, Heteromyidae. The record is from Rfam.
GGUGGCUCAGUGGUAGAGUGCUUGCCUUGCAUGCAUGACGCCCUGGGUUCAAUUCCUCAGCACCA